AUGGUUGUCGUCAGCUCGUGUCGUGAGAUGUUGGGUUAAGUCCCGCAACGAGCGCAACCCCUAUUGUUAGUUGCCAUCAUUCAGUUGGGCACUCUAGCGAGACUGCCGGUAAUAAACCGGAGGAAGGUGGGGAUGACGUCAAAUCAUCAUGCCCCUUAUGACCUGGGCUACACACGUGCUACAAUGGUUGGUACAACGAGUUGCGAGUCGGUGACGGCGAGCUAAUCUCUUAAAGCCAAUCUCAGUUCGGAUUGUAGGCUGCAACUCGCCUACAUGAAGUCGGAAUCGCUAGUAAUCGCGGAUCAGCACGCCCGCGGUCCGAAUACGUUCCGGCCUU
This 337-nucleotide ribosomal RNA is filed under the name uncultured Streptococcus sp. RNAcentral describes it as "bacterial SSU rRNA". It matches the Rfam family "Bacterial small subunit ribosomal RNA", at positions 1045 to 1374 of the family's 1533-position model. The record is from RNAcentral. Lineage: Bacteria; Bacillati; Bacillota; Bacilli; Lactobacillales; Streptococcaceae.